This 6396-nucleotide unclassified non-coding RNA is filed under the name Hevea brasiliensis (rubber tree). Lineage: Eukaryota; Viridiplantae; Streptophyta; Magnoliopsida; Malpighiales; Euphorbiaceae. The record is from RNAcentral.
UUCCCUAACCAUAAAAUAACUAUCCCAUUAUUGUUCUAUUCUAUUCCAUGUGCCAGCAAAGAGAUUUUACACAAGAUAAAAGAGGGUAAUAAAAAAAGAACGAAAAUUCUUGAGUGAAAGAAUAAACAGUUACAGAUGCAUGCACAAAGAAAGCCCUAAGGGCAGGGAGAGAGGGUGGAUGGGUAGGGAAGAACCUGGAGGACAAGUCUCAUACUAAAUCAAGGAAAAGAUACCAACAAUGCACACAAGACAAGAAUUUACAGCCUUUCCUUUGACACCCCCUUCCCGCAGACAUCUAACUGCAAAUACAAAUCAUCAAAAUACAAUGAAAAAGUCCCCACUCAAGCUCUUUGCUGGACUAGAUAUCUUACAUCCAAAAAUUUUCAUGAUGUCAGCUUCAACCCCCACUAAGAAAAAAGGCGCACGGGGCCAAACCAUCAAUUCUACUUGCCGUUGCAGCACUAUAGAUCUCUUGUAUCAAAAGGUCUUCAAAUGAAUAUUUUCAUAUAUGAUUUGUUAAUAGAAUCUUGAUUGGCUCAAAUUAAAUUUUGGCAAAGCCCUGUGAUGAUUUUUUUCUCUGCACAUCCUCUGAUCUUGCUUACCAUUACAAUGCAGUACAGCUUAGCCAGUUCAACUGUAGCAACCAUAGAAGAUAUCAGGAACGAGACUAAGAAUGAUAAUAGAAAUAAUGAAUACUUCUUCCACCAACAUCUUUGCAGGUAUUUGUGAUUAUCGCAAUGUCCUGGGAGAACACUGGAAUUGACAUUUAUCAUCCUUCGAUUUGCGAAUUUCUCCAAAUCGAUCAUAACAACCUAGAUUAACUUGCAUUGCCUUUCUACUCUUGAGCAACAAAAUUUUACAUGUAUUGUGCCAACCAUUGUUUACACAUAUCAAGCACCGGGAGUGCAUUUGCAUGUAAUGCCUGAUGAGCUACAUAUUGAACAUCAGCAACACUUCCACUUCGAGAUGCUAUCUGAAAUGCACUUUUUAGACGACCACAGACAACACAUGCCAACACCUUCCUAUGACUGCUGGUUAACAUGUCGAUGAGACGGUCAGGGCGUUCUUUGUGUUUAUUUGCAUACACAUUUAUUGCAGCCCCCAAGACCUGAUCCCAAUCAUCAUCAUCUAUGGUUCCUUUUAUGUUUCUAAAAAACUCUGUCAACUGGCUGCCUUUUUUCCUCUCAGCUAGUGAUGCAGCAACACCAGCAUAUAUAUCAACAGCUGGAAGAUUAAAUUCAUAAAUUACUUGGAAAGCCAAAUCAAAGUUCUUCUCCACUAGCUUCUCCGCAAUCUCACACCUCCUCCUGAACGUUUCUGGAUCAUUUGGAUUUCCAAAAAGUGAAUGUUUCCACUGUGGCCCAUCUGGAUCAUUUGAGGAUUUCACAACUUCCAGCUGGAUUGAUACUCGAGCAGAAAACUUGACAAGUCCUUCUUCAGUGAGCUUCUCGGACGCACUUUUUCCUCUCACACCCUUUGUGACAAGUUUAGUAGAUUCUCCACCUUUAUAUCGAGCAGAUAGUCCUUCAUCAAAGUGCAUCUUUGCAUGUUCCAAGUGUUUAACAGCUUCCUCUUGGGAAAAUGAAUUCAUAAACAAUUGAAUACAGCAAAGUCCAGCAGCAACAUAGUCCUUCUUGAUUACCUGAAACUUGUAUAGAUAAUUGAAAUGCUUAUGAGUUUCACAGUAGCUGCAAAUACGGGCAAGGGCAGCUGCAGCAUGCUGGUAUACUGCUAAAUCCUCCUGUUUUGCAGAUGCCAUUCUUGUUGAAAUCACUUCCUCAAGAACAGACAUUGCACCAUAACCAAUACACAAGUCACAUAAAUCAUCAAUAGUCCCAUAAUCAGUAGCUAAAGGAUCAGGUCUUUGAGGUGAUGAAGAUGAAGCUACUACUCCCAUGGCUGAAGGUUGAGGUGGCGGAGGAAUAGCACUUGGAGGAAAGAACAACAUGCAGGCAUCAGUAUAGUGACCAUGACUGAACAUAAAUCCAAGCAAAUGCUGACGAGUAUAUUCUUGUAAGUAAUUAACACACUCAACAUAACGAACGCUGUCCAGAUUGCUGCGAGGUCCAUCUUCAAAGUCAGAGUUAUAUGCUGAAUUAUUGUUUUUAGAUUCUUGAGAUGGCCUGGAUCUUUCUGAACGUGGAAAUGUAGAUGGCAUGUACAGAACAUUGAGAUAUGAAUCAGCAGAAAGUGAAUCAUCCAAGAUUGUUGGAGCACUUCUAGCCAAAUGUUCAUACAUAGAACGAACAGCCGACACAUCUACUGGUGGGCCCCCUUCAAUUGUAUUAAUGAUCUCUAGAAUUACAGGUGCUGGGUCCCCCUUGUACAAUUGAAGAGCUUGCUUGAACUUUACACGAGCUUGCGCAUAGUGCUCCAUCCUAAUCAAAGCAUGUCCCCAUGCAUUCCACACAGGGAAAACAUCAAUCUUACACUUCUUGCAGGUGUAUACAGCCAUACUGUACCGUUCAUCAACAGUCAACCUGUCACGGAGACGGGCAGAUGACUCUUUAUCAGCAAUAUCAUCAAGAGAAGCAGCAAUUCCAGAUCCCAAGAGGCUUUGAAGCAACUCAGCACGUCCUAGCCAAAUGUCUGCCAGUGACAAGAUUUCAGAUAGCUCAUCUGUGGACUGACUACCCAAACUAGAGCUACCAGCAUCUGAAGAUGCAUCAUCUGCAUCCUUACUUCUUUCAGAAUUACUAGACAAGUCACUCCCACCAACAAGCUUCCUCAACAAGGAUCUAGAAUAAAGUAGCCCCUGUACAAAUGUCUCAGUGGCAUGAUAUGCCCGACCAAUUGUUUCCAUGGAUGCAUUCUCAGGUAACUGAUGUGAGUUCAACACAUUCUUCAUCUGAUUCAUGCACAAGUCCAGAGCACUUUUGGCAGACACCAACUCAUCAGAAGACAAUGAAAGUAGAGCCUUAAACAGUAUAAUAUCAGGAGCACUUUCAUAUCGAUGUGCUGCACGAACGGCCUCAUCUUUACUAGGAUCACCUGUUAGUAUCCAUUCCUCAGCGAUAGAAACAGAAGGAAGCCGUUCCUGUCCAUCUGCAGAAUAUGACAAAACCCGAUCCUCUUGAAUUCCAGCCAUUGCUUCCCAAGCAACUCUUUCAGAUGGUGGCAAUCCAGAACUCUUUCUCUUACGAUAUACGUCUUUCGUAGCAUUCUUGUCUCCAGUAUUCCGUGGGGCCCAGGAAAAAGCUCUGCGAGCUUCUUUUUGCAAGUUACUUAAGCUGCUACUAAAUGAUGACCUUGCAGGCGCACCUGUUUUUGUUUUUGGUUUCGGUCUUGCUCCAGACACAGAAAUCCGAGGUUCUCUGGAGGGAGAACUUAUACUUACAGCAAUAGCUUUAGCAGCAUAUGAAAUAAUGACACUAUUGUCUCUCAGUGAUGGAAAUUCUUUAAGGAUCAGAGCAGCAGAUUGCAGCUGUUUCCUCAUCAGUAGAACCUCCAGUAUUAGAUGUGGAUGCUCAUGCAAAGAAGAGCAUCUUUGCUGCCAUGGCAAUGGCAAGGCAGCAAGAACACGAAGUCCUAAAGCCCAUGAGUUAAGCCGCGCAAUCUCGACAUCUGACAGAUUCCCAUCUCUUCGUUUAAGGAAGAAGUGAACAAGAAGUUGUUUUGAGCGUAGAUUUGGUAAUAGCUGCAUUGCACCCAUUGCAACUGGUAAAGCAUCAUCAGAGUCACGUAAUGAAGAAAGAAAGCGUGAUGCUUCUGCAGGACCUCCACCAUUAAGAGGGUCUGCAGUGAGAAGCUUCACAAGUUGCCGACCCUGAAGUUCUCUUCGCAAAGCUAUUGAUAACCCUGAACUCUCAGCCACUUCUAGAGCAGCAGAAACAGCUCCUUUCCCAGCCAAUCUAAGUGCUAAUCCUUCAGGAUCUACCUUACACUCCGCUUCAACCUCUUGCCAGCUACUAUAAUGAUCAUCAGAGCUCAAUAUAUGGCUGUACCUCUGCAAAGCUUGUCUUGUUUGCAAUACCUCAUUCCUAACUGGAUCAUUGUCUGGCAGGUGGCAGCUGCACAUUGUGAGUACAUCUAGAGCAGGAUCAAGUUCCCACCUAUGCAUAUACUUGAGGGCAAGUCUAGCUGCCAAUUGUUUAUUCUUCAAACGCAAGCAAUACUGCCAGCUAUUGCUCCAGAUGCUUUGGCCUCCAUAACCUUGAGGCUGGCCAGGCACUGGAUGGUUUUCUUCUCCACGUUCAAUGAGUAGUUGGAGUAACAGGUCUGAGGCUCCCUCACGUAAAUAGCGGUCCGAAAGUGCAAGAGCAUCCAUCAGUUUCCCUUCACCAACCAAUCGCUCUACAGCUUUCUCAUAGGGUUCUUCAUUUUCCCAAUCCAAUGAAAGAUAUACUGUAGCAUCAAGUUCAACAGUAUCAGAUUUUGAGGAAUCCUGCUGUGGAUCAGGGGCUGCAACACCUUCACUGCUAAGGUCUGGCAAGGCCUUCGAAAGAUUACUGCCACUGACAAUGUCAUCAACUUCCAACUCAGUAUCACUAUCAUGCUCAUGAAGUCUCUUAAUGGCAGUUCUUGUAUCAGUUUUAACCUCAUCAUUAUUAGCCUUAUGCUUAGAUGUUACAGCAAAUUCUGAAACUCGAUGUCGAUUGGUUUGCAUUUGUAUCCAUCGGUUCAAAGUUGGGAACCUCUCAGAUUGAUCAAGAGCAAACUCAUAAAAUAGUCUGUCACUAUCAGGUGCUGGCAAUAAUCCAUCAUCGAAGGAACUAGAUAUAGCAGAGUCACUACCACUAUUUAAGAUACCACUCCCAAAAACACACGCUAACACAGCCCUCACUGGGGAUAUUUUAACCAAAUGUUUUACAAUAUCCAACUGGAGAGGGUAUAGAGGCACUCCAGGUGUUGCUGAGGAGCGACUAUAGCAAUUAGGCCUAGCUUCUUUAAAGGAUGUGGGAAGUAAUUUAUUAUCCGAGUAACUUUUAGAGUAAGAAGGAAUGACAGGAAUGCAUGCCCAUCCACGACCAGAUCGUGGUGGAUAAACAGGUGGUACACAUGCUGAUAUAACUUCAUGGACAAAAUCAGCACACAUAAUCUCAGCUACCUUUCCAGCUGCAUCAGUGCUGCCUCGGUCAAAGACCAGACGAGUUAGAAGAUCUUUAGGCCACUCAUAAACAAGGGAGAAAAAAUUGAAAUCAUGGGUUGUAUCAGUCCCAUCAACUAUGUCACCAAUUGCAGCAAUAUGGAGAAUAAACUGUGAUAGAUAUGUAGUAGGCUUGGCACUUAAUGAACCAAAAAAUCUCUUCCCAGCAUCUUUCAAAUCAUAGCCAACAGGCUGUGUGGUACUUUCUCCACCACCUGAACUCAUGGUCAUCUGUUUGACAACUUUCAACCCAAGUCCAAGAACCCCAUCCUUGUCAAGAUCAGCCAAAGCUUUCCGUUCCAUAUGUUGGUGAUCACAUUUUAUAAAAUUUAGCUCUGUUUCUUCAUCAGCAAUAGCUCUUGCAAGAUUAUGAAUCUUACCACUCAAAAACUGUCUCUUGCCCUUGUGAGCAUCUUCGAUCAUCUGAUGUAGCAUAGCAAGGGCACGUUCCUUUUGCCCCUGAUGAAUCAACUCCUUUGAUGUUGAAAUAACAAUCUCACCAGAUAGAAUUGCUUGGAGGCCUGGAUUUUCAUCUUGUUCCAACAACUCAUGCAAACGCUUGAGGACACGUCUAGACACAGAAAUGACUCCCACUUCAUGGAUCCGGUCCCAGUAAGUGGAGCCUGUCUUUGGAGAACCUCCAGGAUAGAUCUCAGAUAACAUGACUUGAGCCUGAUCCAGAAGUUGUUGGGACAUGUUUGCCGAUCUUGCACAAGUAGCAGCAACAUCAAUACAUAGAAGAAUUGCAGCCAAAGGACCCAACUGUGAACGCAGAGAAGAAAAAUCUAGCUCUUGCCCAGAUGUCCCAUCAGUAGCACGAGAUACUGCAUCUUCCACCAAUCUGGAUUCAGAUGCUCUUCGGAAAGCACCAUCAACCCAUUCAGCCAAUUCAAGGGUAGCUCUAUCUUCUGCAGAUAAUGAAAACCGAUGAACCGCUUCUUCCCCAAUAUCAUACUUUGCCCUUUGCAUGCAGAGGUUAAGAAGCUUGGAUGGGGCUGCCCGUAAAACGGUCAAUGCCUCCUUCCACCUCCACUGCCGCUCACAUAAUGGUAGAAGACGCUGCAAAAUUGACAACCGCCAUUGCCAAUCUUCAAUGAAAUGUUUAGCAAUAGAUAUUCUCCACUCUAAGGCCUGUCUUCCCCCCGUAUUCAUGGUAUCAUUUAGUGCAUGCUCUUCAAUGGUGCCUGGUGGAAGAUUGCGACGCAAGAUAUCGAGCAACAAUCCUGUGAAAGAAAUAACCAGUUUGUUUCCCCCUUCACAAGUAGUAACAUCAGUAUGCUCCCAAUGACACGUAGAGGGUGAUUCAGAAU